UAGGCGCUGCCACCGGGUAGCAAUGCUGAUAGGGCAUUCGUUUGCACAUCGUUAGGUCUUUGAAGAUGUGCAGGACGGAUGCUUGUUUUUU
RNAcentral lists this non-coding RNA (91 nucleotides) under unclassified sequences. The record is from RNAcentral.